RNAcentral lists this unclassified non-coding RNA (381 nucleotides) under uncultured Gammaproteobacteria bacterium. RNAcentral describes it as "contains 16S-23S intergenic spacer region". Lineage: Bacteria; Pseudomonadati; Pseudomonadota; Gammaproteobacteria. The record is from RNAcentral.
UCCGGUUUGUCACCGGCAGUCUCCUUAGAGUUCCCAGCAUAACCUGAUGGCAACUAAGGACAAGGGUUGCGCUCGUUACGGGACUUAACCCAACAUAUCACGACACGAGCUGACGACAGCCAUGCAGCACCUGUCACUCGGUUCCCGAAGGCACUCCCGCAUCUCUGCGGGAUUCCGAGGAUGUCAAAGGCAGGUAAGGUUCUUCGCGUUGCAUCGAAUUAAACCACAUGCUCCACCGCUUGUGCGGGCCCCCGUCAAUUCCUUUGAGUUUUAACCUUGCGGCCGUACUCCCCAGGCGGGGUGCUUAAUGCGUUAGCUUCGGCACGGAGCGGGUUGAAGGCCGCCCCACACCUAGCACCCAACGUUUACGGCGUGGACUAC